Paramuricea clavata is the source of this 550-nucleotide non-coding RNA. The record is from the annotation of a GenBank genome assembly. NCBI's taxonomy places the organism in Eukaryota, Metazoa, Cnidaria, Anthozoa, Malacalcyonacea, Plexauridae.
CUCCUUCCGUGUUUGUUAAUGUAAAAGCUGCCUUUGUUGAAACGUUUUUAUUAACAAAAUCUCGACGUUUAAUACUAUAAUACAUCGUGAUUGCCAUUUAUUUCAACAAGAAAAGAAGAAAUAUGUAGAGGAACUUUAAAAGGUGGGUUUGUAACCAGCUGUGAUAUGUAUUUCUAGUGAGUAAAUAGCGAACUUUUGUUAUGACCGUUUGGUCGAUUUAAACUUGCGAGUGACUUCGCAAUCGAUUAUUAAUAACGAAGUUUGCAGCUUACUUCUCGCCUUAAUGUGAAAAUAUGUCGCUGACGUUACGAAGUUUACUAGAAAUGGACUAAUUUCAGACAAUUUGCUUUGUAACAUGACAAUACAAAGCCGUGAUCAAGCGAGGAUGAGAGUGCAUGAGAGUUUGCAGUCAUGCGACAUUGCUGAGCUGUUCUUAUAGUUAAAACAUUGUUGGAACACUUAUCAAACCUUUAUUUUGUUAAUCUAGAGCUUCAAAUGUCAUCUGUAAUAAUCCGUGACUGCCAACUCUCAUCAACUAUCGACGUUUGAU